Long non-coding RNA from Amphiprion ocellaris (clown anemonefish), 3006 nucleotides. RefSeq lists it as uncharacterized. The record is from RefSeq and is a predicted model, not a curated record. The transcript is spliced from 3 exons. Lineage: Eukaryota; Metazoa; Chordata; Actinopteri; Pomacentridae.
CUGCUGACACGGUCUCCGCGCACAGAAAAUCUGCGCUGCGCACAAAAAAAAAAUCCAACCUAAAUUGUAAAUAAAAUAAACACGUAACAAUUCAUUCUGUGCUAUUUUUCAAUGUGAGUUAGUGAGUGACCGGUGACUGGCUGCUGCAGCCAAUGAUGCGAUUCACAUACGUAUUUACCAUAGACUGUAUAUAAUGGUAUUUACGCAGCUAAUCAACGUCACGCGUCCUUAUGUGCAGCCACAGUUGUUCUCAUAGAUAUGAAUGAGUAGAUAGGACACGCCCCUUUGAGCUGCGUGCUACAGCGAGGCUAAGCUAGUGGGGGAAAAGUUUCAGUGCAUUCCAUUGAUGUAGACGGCGUGAAAACGGAAACAACAAGUAUGCCGGCUCACUGUGCUGCAUACAGUUACACACUACGUCGUACGACUGAGACAAGGAAACUUGGAAUGACUUUUCAUAGGUUUCCCAGAGACUAUGGGUUGAGGAGGAAUUGGAAGUUUGUCGGCUUAGACCUGGUGUCAUUCCAUCAGUGUUAAACUUCCCGGCUCAUCUUGGAAGAGUACGUGCCAGAAAGACCACGACCAAGCAGCCUUGAGAUCUUAGACAGCGUCUCCCUCAGGUCCCUCUCUAUCUCCCCACACAUCCACCAACCACUGGAACACAUCUCCAAAGUUCUGCCAGGCCAGCUCAGCUUCCCCUCAGAAGAAGUGCCGCCACCUGCCAGAUGAAGGAGCCUUUUGAGAGGCAGCUGGCAUCGUGAUUGGACUGUACUUUGGUCUGUUCCAAUCCAGCUUCAGCUCCAGAGACGGCAGGCGGGACGAGUCAACGGAGGCCGGGUGGACGAAGACAUGCAGCUGAGUACAAUCCAGAAAACAACAGAAGAGGAGUGCAGGGCCAGAACAACCAGAGUAGCACAUUAUGUCUCUUAGAAAGAAUCAUAGUAUAGCCUUUGGUAUGAAAAAACGCCAUCAUAUACAUCGUAUCUUGUACAAAUAACAAGUCAAAGGAAAGAGACAUACAUUGUAGAAUUGUAGUAAUUGUGGGCUGACUGAUUUACUGAUUAUCAGUAUUUUAUUUUUUACUGAUUUACGGUAAUAAAUAAAUUUAAAAAUGGUGGUACUUUGGCUCUGAACCUUUAUCUACCUGUGGUCGCUCUGUCUUCUGGAGUGAUUUGAUUGGUUAUACGUAACGAAUACAACUCCUUUAACUUAACAUCUGUAAACAAAACAAAAACGUAUCAACAAAGUUUUCUGUUAGAGUUUGUGUUCUUCUAAGUUUAACUCAAGAUUUUAAAUACUUUCAUUUACUGCAAAUGAAUAUCUACUCCAAAUGUGUCAAUAAUAAUCAUUAUCAGCCUUAAAAACCCACAAAACACCCCUCUAUACUCCACCACACUUAGUACAGUCCGGUUCCCCCUUCUAUAAAUCUGCUUGGAAUCUUCCACUUCCUGUUUGUCAAAGUGGCCUUCUACCUGGACAGGUUUUGUUGGAGCUCAUGCAACAAACAUUUUGGGUAACUGCACUUUAAUAUGGAUGGAUGACACUGAAUUAGAGUCUGUUUUAAUGAGACUGAGUUAAGAUGUGUAGCUCUGUCAUUAAAUAGGAAAUUAUUUCUCAGAAUUCACAGAGAAAAGUCUGAAAUGUUUGCUAGGUUAGCGUCCCACAUGUUCUUUGGCUCAGCUAAAGCUAACUCUCUCCAACUUCUGGAUCUCUUGAGUUGCUUGUUGUUAAAAUAUCUUGCUGUAGGUGCUGAAGCUCAGAAAGUCUGAGAUGUUUGUUCAGAAUAAGCUCAUUCUCAAGUCUUAUCUGAACUGUCCUCUUUUGUUUGAACUUUCCCUAAACUUAGGAGUUAAUGACAGAGCAGCACAUCCAGACUCAGUCUCAUUUAUGUAGAGAUUAAACUUCAGUGUCGUUCAUUGAUGUUAAAGUGCAGUUUUUCACGUUUGUUGCACAUGUUCCCGACCAAACCAGUCCAGGUGGAAGACGAUGUGAAGAGAAAGCUCCAGAGGAUGAAUAUCACAUAUUUACAUUGGAAAUAAAGGUCCUCUAAUUAGACAUUGUCAUGCAAAAGUUGGAUUUCCUUUUAAUGAUGUUCAAAUCUUUGUUGAGUAAUUUGUUGAUGUUGGUUUCUAAAUGUUUUUUGACACUUGGCCCCAAAGAUUAAAACAUUCUACGGCUCACAAGCUGCAACAAUUCACACAUUAUCAACUAUCUUUCUGACUAAACUAAGAUAAAAAGUGGAAAAACUGCCUGAUUCCUGCAUCAUGAAUGUAAAUCUGUUUGGUUUUUAUGACAGUAAACUGAAUAUAUUUGGGCUUGACAUUUUAUAAACCAAAACAAGAAAUGAAUUACUGGAGAAAACGACAGAUUAAUGGACAAAGAAAAUGUGUUUUCUAACAUAUAUGGCUGAAUUACUCCAACGUUACAAGAUACAUACAAUUUGAAUUCAGUUUUAUUUAUAUAAUGCCAAUUACAGGUCAAAUUGUCUCGAUGCUUUAUUUUUAUACUUUUUUGUCAUAUUUAAAAUAUGACAAAGUAAGAAAUUUAAACCUCUUGAUUAAUCCAAUUUAUUAUUUAGUUUUUAAGAGACUAAUUAACAAUUCAAACUUUCUCCACUAAAACUAGUAAACAUGAGGUCAAAUAGAAGGAACAGUUUUAAAUACUGCAGUCCCACAACGACAAUAAAGUUUCUCAACAAAAACUAAAUCUGCUGGUGGAUUCCAUUAAAGUCCUAAUAAAGGAUAAUAAAGUGUGAUACUAAAGGUUUGUGGUGCUAAAAAUGUCAAAGAUAUCAAGUUGAACAUCUGGAUGGAGGUUGAUAAAAGUUGACCUCCCUUCAUUUCUCUGGAGCCGACUCCAUGGAUUUUCUGGAUGGUGGUUAAAGACCUGCUCUUCUAGUGGUCUUCCUUCUAGUCGCUGUAAAAAAGAGUCCAUCCUGGCCGACUUCAACACCUCUUCAUGACAACUUGUUCUGCUUCCAACCUCGUGGAAACUCAAGAAACUCGGGAA